UGCUAUGAGAUGAGCCUGCGUCGGAUUAGCUAGUUGGUAGGGUAAUGGCCUACCAAGGCGACGAUCCGUAGCUGGUCUGAGAGGACGAUCAGCCACACUGGGACUGAGACACGGCCCAGACUCCUACGGGAGGCAGCAGUGGGGAAUAUUGGACAAUGGGGGAAACCCUGAUCCAGCAAUGCCGCGUGUGUGAAGAAGGCCUUCGGGUUGUAAAGCACUUUCAGUGGGGAAGAAAUUCUCAAGGCUAAUACCCUUUUGAGCGUUGACGUUACCCACAGAAGAAGCACUGGCUAACUCUGUGCCAGCAGCCGCGGUAAUACAGAGAGUGCAAGCGUUAAUCGGAAUCACUGGGCGUAAAGCGCGCGUAGGUGGAUAUUUAAGUCGGAUGUGAAAGCCCUAGGCUUAACCUGGGAAUUACAUCCGAUACUAGGUAUCUCGAGUAUGAUAGAGGGAAGUGGAAUUUCCGGUGUAGCGGUGAAAUGCGUAGAUAUCGGAAAGAACAUCAGUGGCGAAGGCGGCUUCCUGGAGCAAUACUGACACUGAGGCGCGAAAGCGUGGGGAGCAAACAGGAUUAGAGACCCUGGUAGUCCACGCCGUCAACGAUGAGAACUAGCUGUUGGAAAGUUUAAUUUCUAGUAGCAAAGCUAACGCGUUAAGUUCUCCGCCUGGGGAGUACGGCCGCAAGGUUAAAACUCAAAGAAAUUGACGGGGGCCCGCACAAGCGGUGGAGCAUGUGGUUUAAUUCGAUGCAACGCGAAAAACCUUACCUACCCUUGACAUCCUCGGAACUUGUCAGAAAUGACUUGGUGCCUUUGGGAACCGAGUGACAGGUGCUGCAUGGCUGUCGUCAGCUCGUGUCGUGAGAUGUUGGGUUAAGUCCCGUAACGAGCGCAACCCUCGUCCUUAGUUGCCAGCGGUUCGGCCGGGAACUCUAAGGAGACUGCCGGUGAUAAACCGGAGGAAGGUGAGGAUGAUGUCAAGUCAUCAUGGCCCUUACGGGUAGGGCUACACACGUGCUACAAUGGGCAGUACAAAGGGUUGCCAAACCGUGAGGUAAAGCUAAUCCCAAAAAGCUGCUAGUAGUCCGGAUUGGAGUCUGCAACUCGACUCCAUGAAGUUGGACUCGCUAGUAAUCGCGAAUCAGAAUGUCGCGGUGAAUACGUUCUAGGGC
Molecule: ribosomal RNA, 1171 nt
Filed under: Coxiella-like endosymbiont of Rhipicephalus sp.
Lineage: Bacteria; Pseudomonadati; Pseudomonadota; Gammaproteobacteria; Legionellales; Coxiellaceae
Description: bacterial SSU rRNA
Rfam family: Bacterial small subunit ribosomal RNA
Source: RNAcentral